CAGAAGAUAAUUUAAGUAAAAUCUAGACUUUGGAAGUUUAAAAUAACAUUGUGUUUCUUCUGA
This 63-nucleotide transfer RNA is filed under the name Chonosia atrodorsalis. Its description in RNAcentral is "tRNA-Pro". The record is from RNAcentral. Lineage: Eukaryota; Metazoa; Arthropoda; Insecta; Hemiptera; Cicadidae.